UUCCACUGAUGAUGCUUUGUUAGUGCCACAUGUCUGGGCCACUGAGAUCCCAUGAUGGAACUGAGCAUGUAUGAGGUA
Small nucleolar RNA from Erinaceus europaeus (western European hedgehog), 78 nucleotides. NCBI's taxonomy places the organism in Eukaryota, Metazoa, Chordata, Mammalia, Eulipotyphla, Erinaceidae. The record is from Ensembl.